Molecule: ribosomal RNA, 168 nt
Filed under: uncultured bacterium
Lineage: Bacteria
Description: partial 16S ribosomal RNA
Rfam family: Bacterial small subunit ribosomal RNA
Source: RNAcentral
GCCUACGGGAGGCAGCAGUAGGGAAUCUUCCACAAUGGGCGAAAGCGUGAUGGAGCAACGCCGCGUGAGUGAAGAAGGAUUUCGGUUAGUAAAACUUUGUUGUAAGGGAAGAACAAGUACAGUAGUAACAUGUGCUGUACCUGACGGUACACUAUAUAGCCAGAUCGC